UACGUAGGGUGCGAGCGUUAAUCGGAAUUACUGGGCGUAAAGCGUGCGCAGGCGGCUCUGCAAGACAGAUGUGAAAUCCCCGGGCUCAACCUGGGAACUGCAUUUGUGACUGCAAGGCUAGAGUACGGCAGAGGGGGAUGGAAUUCCGCGUGUAGCAGUGAAAUGCGUAGAUAUGCGGAGGAACACCAAUGGCAAAGGCAAUCCCCUGGGCCUGUACUGACGCUCAUGCACGAAAGCGUGGGGAGCAAACAGG
This 253-nucleotide ribosomal RNA is filed under the name uncultured bacterium. Its description in RNAcentral is "partial 16S ribosomal RNA". It matches the Rfam family "Bacterial small subunit ribosomal RNA", at positions 524 to 776 of the family's 1533-position model. The record is from RNAcentral.